UACGUAGGGUGCAAGCGUUAAUCGGAAUUACUGGGCGUAAAGCGUGCGCAGGCGGUUUUGUAAGUCUGACGUGAAAGCCCCGGGCUCAACCUGGGAAUUGCGAUGGAGACUGCAAGGCUUGAAUCUGGCAGAGGGGGGUAGAAUUCCACGUGUAGCAGUGAAAUGCGUAGAGAUGUGGAGGAACACCGAUGGCGAAGGCAGUCCCCUGGGUCAAGAUUGACGCUCAUGCACGAAAGCGUGGGGAGCAAACAGG
RNAcentral lists this ribosomal RNA (253 nucleotides) under uncultured bacterium. RNAcentral's name for it is "partial 16S ribosomal RNA". It matches the Rfam family "Bacterial small subunit ribosomal RNA", at positions 524 to 776 of the family's 1533-position model. The record is from RNAcentral.